Molecule: transfer RNA, 72 nt
Filed under: Sphaerobolus stellatus SS14
Lineage: Eukaryota; Fungi; Basidiomycota; Agaricomycetes; Geastrales; Sphaerobolaceae
Description: tRNA-Leu (AAG) (tRNA-Leu-AAG-13-1)
Rfam family: tRNA
About the family: Transfer RNA (tRNA) molecules are approximately 80 nucleotides in length. Their secondary structure includes four short double-helical elements and three loops (D, anti-codon, and T loops).
Source: RNAcentral
GGCCGCCUGGUGAAAUGGCAUCGCAUCUGACUAAGAAUCAGGAGAUUGCAGGUUCGACCUCUGCGGUGGUCA